Stomoxys calcitrans (stable fly) is the source of this 202-nucleotide long non-coding RNA. RefSeq lists it as uncharacterized. NCBI's taxonomy places the organism in Eukaryota, Metazoa, Arthropoda, Insecta, Diptera, Muscidae. The record is from RefSeq and is a predicted model, not a curated record. The transcript has 3 exons.
CUUUUUCUUAAAGCGAAUUGAAUUUGUGAAAGACCAAAAUCUGCCGUGUCAUAAAAUUUUCUAUUGGCAAGCGCGUAUUAUGGUGUGCCAUCAAAUCAUCUCCUUGUCUCCAAAAUUUAAAAUAACAAGUCCCGAAAACAAUUUUUCGUAAGAUGACACAGAUUAUCGGUCAGAUAGAAGUCCAAAAUAGAUGGUACGUAAU